RNAcentral lists this ribosomal RNA (253 nucleotides) under uncultured bacterium. RNAcentral describes it as "partial 16S ribosomal RNA". It matches the Rfam family "Bacterial small subunit ribosomal RNA", at positions 524 to 776 of the family's 1533-position model. The record is from RNAcentral.
UACAGAGGUCUCAAGCGUUGUUCGGAUUCAUUGGGCGUAAAGGGUGCGUAGGUGGCGUGGUAAGUCGGGUGUGAAAUCUCGGAGCUUAACUCCGAAAUUGCAUUCGAUACUGCCGUGCUUGAGGACUGGAGAGGAGACUGGAAUUCAUGGUGUAGCAGUGAAAUGCGUAGAGAUCGUAAGGAAGACCAGUGGCGAAGGCGAGUCUCUGGACAGUUACUGACGCUGAGGCACGAAGGCCAGGGGAGCAAACGGG